This 406-nucleotide ribosomal RNA is filed under the name uncultured bacterium. RNAcentral describes it as "partial 16S ribosomal RNA". It matches the Rfam family "Bacterial small subunit ribosomal RNA", at positions 30 to 526 of the family's 1533-position model. The record is from RNAcentral.
AUUGAACGCUGGCGGCAGGCCUAACACAUGCAAGUCGAACGAGCGGCGGACGGGUGAGUAAUGCUUGGGGAUCUGCCAUAUAGCGGGGGCUAACUACUGGAAACUGUAGCUAAUACCUCAUACUAUCGGAUGAACCCAAGUGGGAUUAGCUAGUAGGUGGGGUAAAGGCUCACCUAGGCGACGAUCUCUAGCUGGUCUGAGAGGAUGAUCACCAACCCGGGGACUGAGACACGGCCCAGACUCCUACGGUAGGCAGCAGUGGGAAAUAUUGCACAAUGGGGGCAAUCCUGAUGCAGCCAUGCCGCGUGUAUGAAGAAGGCCUUAGGGUUGUAAAGUACUUUCAGCGGGGAGGCGUUACCUGCAGAAGAAGCACCGGCUAACUCCGUGCCAGCAGCCGCGGUAAUUC